CGACUGUUUUACCAAAAACAUAGCUUCUAGAAAUAAUUAGAAGUAAAAUCCUGCCCGGUGAAAGCAAUUUUAAACGGCCACAAUCGUGCUAAGGUAGCGUAAUCAGUUGUCCUUUUACUGAGGACUAGUAUGAAAGGAAAAACGAGGCUCAACUGUCUCUAUUAAAAAAAUAAAAAUUAGUUUUUAGAUGAAAAAAUCUAAAUGAAAUUAAAGGACGAAAAGACCCUAUAGAGUUUAAAUAUAAUUAUACUAUUCACAAAUUAAACAAAACGAAUAGGAUAAGUAUUUUAAUUGGGGCAACAUAGGAACAAGAAAUUUCCUUAUAGUAAACAUUUAACAUCAUAAAAAUAAAAAUCCUCAAAGAGAUAAAGAAAAACUACCUUAGGGAUAACAGCGUAAUUUUUCUAAAGAGACCUAAUCGAAAGAAAAGUUUGCGACCUCGAUGUUGGACUAAGGCAUCAAAAUGGUGAAGAAACUAUUAAAAGUAGGCCUGUUCGGCCUAAUAGCCUUACAUGAUUUG
This 520-nucleotide ribosomal RNA is filed under the name Amathia vidovici. RNAcentral describes it as "partial 16S ribosomal RNA". It matches the Rfam family "Bacterial large subunit ribosomal RNA", at positions 1797 to 2607 of the family's 2925-position model. Lineage: Eukaryota; Metazoa; Bryozoa; Gymnolaemata; Ctenostomatida; Vesiculariidae. The record is from RNAcentral.